Molecule: ribosomal RNA, 253 nt
Filed under: uncultured bacterium
Lineage: Bacteria
Description: partial 16S ribosomal RNA
Rfam family: Bacterial small subunit ribosomal RNA
Source: RNAcentral
UACGGAGGGGGCGAGCGUUAUUCGGAAUUAUUGGGCGUAAAGGGCGCGUAGGCGGCUUUCUAAGUCAACGGUGAAAUCCCUCGGCUCAACUGAGGAACUGCCUUUGAAACUGGACGGCUUGAGGCCGGGAGAGGGUAGCGGAAUUCCCAGUGUAGCGGUGAAAUGCGUAGAUACUGGGAGGAACACCGGUGGCGAAGGCGGCUGCCUGGACCGGUUCUGACGCUGAGGCGCGAAAGCGUGGGUAGCAAACAGG